AUUUACCAAGCCAGACCAAUGAUGCAUCUAGCUCAGCCUCACCAGCACUGACUGGCAGUGGCUCUCCAAGGUUUCAGAUGGGGCAUUCCCAGCCCUACCAGGUGACACCAGGGAUUGAGGUAAAGGUAAAGGGACCCCUGACCAAUAGGUCCAGUCGUGGCCGACUCUGGGGUUGCGGCGCUCAUCUCACUUUAUUGGCUGAGGGAGCCGGCGUACAGCUUCCGGGUCAUGUGGCCAGCAUGACUAAGCCACUUCUGGCAAACCAGAGCAGCGCAC
Podarcis lilfordi (Lilford's wall lizard) is the source of this 276-nucleotide non-coding RNA. NCBI's taxonomy places the organism in Eukaryota, Metazoa, Chordata, Lepidosauria, Squamata, Lacertidae. The record is from the annotation of a GenBank genome assembly.